UGGUGAGGUAACGGCUCACCAAGGCGACGAUGGGUAGCCGGCCUGAGAGGGUGACCGGCCACACUGGGACUGAGACACGGCCCAGACUCCUACGGGAGGCAGCAGUAGGGAAUAUUGCGCAAUGGGGGGAACCCUGACGCAGCGACGCCGCGUGAGCGAAGAAGGUCUUCGGGUCGUAAAGCUCUGUCCUAUGGGAAGAAAAGGACGGUACCAUAGGAGGAAGCCCCGGCUAACUACGUGCCAGCAGCCGCGGUAAUACGUAGGGGGCGAGCGUUGUCCGGAAUUACUGGGCGUAAAGGGUGCGUAGGCGGAUAUGCAAGUCCGAUGUGAAAUGUUACGGCUUAACCGUGGAGUUGCAUUGGAAACUGUGUAUCUAGAGUGCAGGAGAGGGAAGCGGAAUUCCUAGUGUAGCGGUGAAAUGCGUAGAUAUUAGGAGGAACACCAGUGGCGAAGGCGGCUUCCUGGACUGCAACUGACGCUGAGGCACGAAAGCUGGGUUAGCGAACAGGAUUAGAUACCCUGGUAGUCCCAGCCGUAAACGAUGGGUACUAGGUGUUGUCACUUCAUUGUGGCAGUGCCGGAGUUAA
RNAcentral lists this ribosomal RNA (587 nucleotides) under uncultured bacterium. Its description in RNAcentral is "bacterial SSU rRNA". It matches the Rfam family "Bacterial small subunit ribosomal RNA", at positions 250 to 855 of the family's 1533-position model. The record is from RNAcentral.